Molecule: long non-coding RNA, 1253 nt
Organism: Empidonax traillii (willow flycatcher)
Lineage: Eukaryota; Metazoa; Chordata; Aves; Passeriformes; Tyrannidae
Exons: 3
Source: RefSeq, a predicted model, not a curated record
CCACCACAAAUUACAACCUAAGAACUCAAAACAUUGUUUUCUCAAACCCUUUUUGCUUUCGUGAUGAAUCAAAUGCCACCAAGCAACACUUAAUUAAAACUCUUGGUGUUUACAGUGCAGGUAUUUCCAGGAAAAGCCUUGAUGCCCCAUCACGCACUUGGAGGCCAUGUUGCAUCACACACAUUCUAUGAAUAAAAUCCAAAUGUUUCCCACUCGGAUCCCUGACGUGCUCCUCGCCAGAUGGCACAGGCAGCUUUAAAGGAGGGGAUUUGCUCACGGAAAUGGACUUCUCGGCUGCCUGUCUCUGAGGCUUGGGAUUUGUCACUCCCAGGGAAGACAGAGCUUCUCCCUUUUGUUGCUUUGAAAGGACUGUGCGUGUUCAGCUCCCCUGUGCUGCACUCUAAGCUGGUGAAUCACAGUCCACACUGGAUCGGGACAUGGAUCAUACUGCAGUUGCCAAGGGAAGGAUGGAUGGCAAGGUUUUCUCCAGAUGCAUGUGGUACUUUGCUGUCAGAAUGGAUGGUGUAUGGACAAGGAGGGGUUUUUCUGAGAUGGAUUUUUUCCUAGGUUGGACUUGAUGUCUUUUCCAACCUUAAUGAUUCUAUGAUUCUAGGCCAUAGGAAAUACAGGUAUUUCUUGUACAGAAAAUAUUUGCUUCCAACUAAAGCCAAGUAUGGCCUCAGCUUCUGAGUAAAAAAAAAUUCAGGUGCAUCACAAAGAAAUUUAGCAACUUCUUGUCCAGUUUGCAUCCAGACAUGGAUUCCUUAUGAGAAGAACUCCCAGAAUUAAUCACUACUCAGGAAGACAGCACAAAUGAGCAGGAGCAGUCAGAGAUGACGAGGAGACACACGAUUUGCACUGCACAGCUUUAUCCUCCCACAUAUCCUGCUCAUUUCAGCACAGCACUACAUUUUUUUUUUAAUUUGCCAGAAAACCCAGCAGUUUCAUCAUGAGGAUGGCAGUAAACAUGUGAAUAACAACUGUAUUUCUACAGUAAGUACGUGCAGUAGAAGUAACCACCCCCAGUACUGCUUUGUGCUUUUAAAUGUGCACAGACAAGUGAAGCAAAUCAUGCAGACACAAAACUUGGCAUGUAAAUUAAAGCAGACUAAUUGAGCUCUGCCUGAACUUUCUUCCCCUGAAUCCUAAACAACCUGCUGAGCAAGUGUUCUUCCUUACAGGAGUCAAAGUGAGAGGUAUUUUAGUUUGGAAAACCAGCACUGCAGCAGCACAAAACAGAAGGUCAGGUACAC